AGCGUAGACGGAGCAGCAAGUCUGAUGUGAAAGGCGGGGGCUCAACCCCCGGACUGCAUUGGAAACUGUUGAUCUUGAGUACCGGAGAGGUAAGCGGAAUUCCUAGUGUAGCGGUGAAAUGCGUAGAUAUUAGGAGGAACACCAGUGACGAAGGCGGCUUACUGGACGGUAACUGACGUUGAGGCUCGAAAGCGUGGGGAGCAAACA
Molecule: ribosomal RNA, 207 nt
Filed under: uncultured bacterium
Lineage: Bacteria
Description: partial 16S ribosomal RNA
Rfam family: Bacterial small subunit ribosomal RNA
Source: RNAcentral